RNAcentral lists this ribosomal RNA (630 nucleotides) under uncultured yard-trimming-compost bacterium. RNAcentral describes it as "bacterial SSU rRNA". It matches the Rfam family "Bacterial small subunit ribosomal RNA", at positions 29 to 654 of the family's 1533-position model. The record is from RNAcentral.
AUGAACGCUGGCGGCAUGCCUUACACAUGCAAGUCGAACGGCAGCACGGGGGCAACCUUGGUGGCGAGUGGCGAACGGGUGAGUAACGUAUCGGAACGUGCCCUGGAGUGGGGGAUAACUAGUCGAAAGACUAGCUAAUACCGCAUACGAUCUACGGAUGAAAGUGGGGGAUCGCAAGACCUCAUGCUCGUGGAGCGGCCGAUAUCUGAUUAGCUAGUUGGUGGGGUAAAGGCCUACCAAGGCAUCGAUCAGUAGCUGGUCUGAGAGGACGACCAGCCACACUGGGACUGAGACACGGCCCAGACUCCUACGGGAGGCAGCAGUGGGGAAUUUUGGACAAUGGGCGCAAGCCUGAUCCAGCAAUGCCGCGUGAGUGAAGAAGGCCUUCGGGUUGUAAAGCUCUUUUGUCAGGGAAGAAACGGUGGGAGCUAAUAUCUUCUGCUAAUGACGGUACCUGAAGAAUAAGCACCGGCUAACUACGUGCCAGCAGCCGCGGUAAUACGUAGGGUGCAAGCGUUAAUCGGAAUUACUGGGCGUAAAGCGUGCGCAGGCGGUUGUGCAAGACAGAUGUGAAAUCCCCGGGCUCAACCUGGGAAUUGCAUUUGUGACUGCACGGCUAGAGUGUGUCAG